UACGUAGGGUGCAAGCGUUGUCCGGAAUUAUUGGGCGUAAAGAGCUCGUAGGCGGCUUGUCGCGUCGGCUGUGAAAACCUGGGGCUCAACCCCGGGCCUGCAGUGGGUACGGGCAGACUAGAGUGCGGUAGGGGAGACUGGAAUUCCUGGUGUAGCGGUGAAAUGCGCAGAUAUCAGGAGGAACACCGGUGGCGAAGGCGGGUCUCUGGGCCGUAACUGACGCUGAGGAGCGAAAGCAUGGGGAGCGAACAGG
This 253-nucleotide ribosomal RNA is filed under the name uncultured bacterium. RNAcentral's name for it is "partial 16S ribosomal RNA". It matches the Rfam family "Bacterial small subunit ribosomal RNA", at positions 524 to 776 of the family's 1533-position model. The record is from RNAcentral.